CAGUUGGUAAUGAUGGAGAGACAGACGGCAGGAAGUGCUCUGGUGUUUAAUAAAGGUAAUGUUGGUUCAGCAGGAAGUCCUCUGGUGUUUCAUAAAGGUCAUGUUGGUUCAGCAGGAAGUCCUCUGGUGUUUCAUAAAGGUCAUGUUGUUUCAGCAGGAAGUCCUCUGGUGUUUAAUAAAGGUCAUGUUGGUUCAGCAGGAAGUCCUCUGGUGUUUCAUAAAGGUCAUGUUGGUUCAGCAGGAAGUCCUCUGGUGUUUCAUAAAGGUCAUGUUGGUUCAGCAGGAAGUCCUCUGGUGUUUAAUAAAGGUCAUGUUGGUUCAGCAGGAAGUCCUCUGGUGUUUAAUAAAGGUCAUGUUGGUUCAGCAGGAAGUCCUCUGGUGUUUAAUAAAGGUCAUGUUGGUUCAGCAGGAAGUCCUCUGGUGUUUAAUAAAGGUCAUGUUGGUUCAGCAGGAAGUCCUCUGGUGUUUCAUAAAGGUCAUGUUGGUUCAGCAGGAAGUCCUCUGGUGUUUAAUAAAGGUCAUGUUGGUUCAGCAGGAAGUCCUCUGGUGUUUAAUAAAGGUCAUGUUGGUUCAGCAGGAAGUCCUCUGGUGUUUAAUAAAGGUCAUGUUGGUUCAGCAGGAAGUCCUCUGGUGUUUAAUAAAGGUCAUGUUGGUUCAGCAGGAAGUCCUCUGGUGUUUAAUAAAGAUCAACAGCUAAUGCUAGCCAGAUCAACAACUAAUGCUAGCCAGAUCAACAGCUAAUGCUAGCCAGAUCAAUAACUGAUGCUAGCCAGA
Oncorhynchus keta (chum salmon) is the source of this 774-nucleotide long non-coding RNA. RefSeq lists it as uncharacterized. The record is from RefSeq and is a predicted model, not a curated record. The transcript has 2 exons. Lineage: Eukaryota; Metazoa; Chordata; Actinopteri; Salmoniformes; Salmonidae.